RNAcentral lists this ribosomal RNA (493 nucleotides) under uncultured bacterium. RNAcentral describes it as "bacterial SSU rRNA". It matches the Rfam family "Bacterial small subunit ribosomal RNA", at positions 8 to 498 of the family's 1533-position model. The record is from RNAcentral.
AGAGUUUGAUCAUGGCUCAGGAUGAACGCUGGCGGCGUGCUUAACACAUGCAAGUCGAACGGAGAGCCAAUGACGGAGUUUUCGGACAACGGAUUUGGUUUCUUAGUGGCGGACGGGUGAGUAACGCGUGAGCAACCUGCCUUGGAGUGGGGAAUAACAGCUGGUAACAGUUGCUAAUACCGCAUAAUGCAGCGAGGGGACAUCCUCUUGCUGCCAAAGAUUUAUCGCUCUGAGAUGGACUCGCGUCUGAUUAGCUGGUUGGCGGGGUAACGGCCCACCAAGGCGACGUUCAGUAGCCGGACUGAGAGGUUGACCGGCCACAUUGGGACUGAGAUACGGCCCAGACUCCUACGGGAGGCAGCAGUGGGGAAUAUUGGGCAAUGGGCGAAAGCCUGACCCAGCAACGCCGCGUGAAGGAAGAAGGCCCUCGGGUUGUAAACUUCUUUUAUCAGGGACGAAACAAAUGACGGUACCUGAUGAAUAAGCCGCGGCU